CAGUCGCCGCGGUAAUACGUAGGCGGCAAGCGUUGUCCGGAAUUAUUGGGCGUAAAGGGCUCGCAGGCGGUUUCUUAAGUCUGAUGUGAAAGCCCCCGGCUCAACCGGGGAGGGUCAUCGGAAACUGGGAAACUUGAGUGCAGAAGAGGAGAGUGGAAUUCCACGUGUAGCGGUGAAAUGCGUAGAGAUGUGGAGGAACACCAGUGGCGAAGGCGACUCUCUGGUCUGUAACUGACGCUGAGGAGCGAAAGCGUGGGGAGCGAACAGGAUUAGAUACCCGGGUAGUCCCUGUCUCUUAUAC
RNAcentral lists this ribosomal RNA (301 nucleotides) under uncultured bacterium. Its description in RNAcentral is "partial 16S ribosomal RNA". It matches the Rfam family "Bacterial small subunit ribosomal RNA", at positions 509 to 807 of the family's 1533-position model. The record is from RNAcentral.